RNAcentral lists this transfer RNA (67 nucleotides) under Marmota monax (woodchuck). RNAcentral's name for it is "tRNA.Ala". Lineage: Eukaryota; Metazoa; Chordata; Mammalia; Rodentia; Sciuridae. The record is from RNAcentral.
GGCUGUAGCUCAGUGGCAGAGUACUUGCCUGGCAUGUGUGAGGCACUGAGUUCAAUCCUUAGCACCA